This 327-nucleotide ribosomal RNA is filed under the name uncultured eukaryote. Its description in RNAcentral is "partial 18S ribosomal RNA". It matches the Rfam family "Eukaryotic small subunit ribosomal RNA", at positions 1470 to 1796 of the family's 1831-position model. The record is from RNAcentral.
CCCUUAGAUGUUCUGGGCCGCACGCGCGCUACACUGACGAAUGCAACGAGCUUAUAACCUUGGCCGAAAGGUCUGGGUAAUCUCCAAAUUUCGUCGUGAUGGGGAUAGAUUAUUGCAAUUAUUAAUCUUCAACGAGGAAUGCCUAGUAAGCGCAAGUCAUCAGCUUGCGUUGAUUACGUCCCUGCCCUUUGUACACACCGCCCGUCGCUCCUACCGAUUGAAUGGUCCGGUGAAGCGUUCGGACCGUGGCCUUUGGACGGUUCGCCGUCAGUUGGCUGCGGGAAGUUCGUUAAACCUUAUCAUUUAGAGGAAGGAGAAGUCGUAACA